RNAcentral lists this transfer RNA (77 nucleotides) under Candidatus Latescibacterota bacterium. Its description in RNAcentral is "tRNA-Val". It matches the Rfam family "tRNA". From Rfam's summary of the family: Transfer RNA (tRNA) molecules are approximately 80 nucleotides in length. The record is from RNAcentral. Lineage: Bacteria; Pseudomonadati; Candidatus Latescibacterota.
GGGCGGUUAGCUCAGCUGGUUAGAGCGCCUGCCUUACAAGCAGGGGGUCACUGGUUCGAGUCCAGUAUCGCCCACCA